Molecule: ribosomal RNA, 253 nt
Filed under: uncultured prokaryote
Description: partial 16S ribosomal RNA
Rfam family: Bacterial small subunit ribosomal RNA
Source: RNAcentral
UACGGAGGGUGCAAGCGUUAAUCGGAAUAACUGGGCGUAAAGGGUGCGUAGGUUGUUUUUUAAGCUAGCUGUGAAAUACCUGGGCUUAACCUGGGGCGGUCAGCUAAGACUGGAAGACUGGAGUAUGGGAGAGGGUAGUGGAAUUUCCGGUGUAGCGGUGAAAUGCGUAGAGAUCGGAAGGAACACCAGUUGCGAAGGCGGCUACCUGGCCUAAUACUGACACUGAGGCACGAAAGCGUGGGGAGCAAACAGG